AGUGAACGCUGGCGGUAGGCCUAACACAUGCAAGUCGAACGGCAGCACAGUAAGAGCUUGCUCUUACGGGUGGCGAGUGGCGGACGGGUGAGGAAUACAUCGGAAUCUACUUUUUCGUGGGGGAUAACGUAGGGAAACUUACGCUAAUACCGCAUACGACCUACGGGUGAAAGCAGGGGAUCUUCGGACCUUGCGCGAUUGAAUGAGCCGAUGUCGGAUUAGCUAGUUGGCGGGGUAAAGGCCCACCAAGGCGACGAUCCGUAGCUGGUCUGAGAGGAUGAUCAGCCACACUGGAACUGAGAAACGGUCCAGACUCCUACGGGAGGCAGAAGUGGGGAAUAUUGGACAAUGGGCGCAAGCCUGAUCCAGCCAUACCGCGUGGGUGAAGAAGGCCUUCGGGUUGUAAAGCCCUUUUGUUGGGAAAGAAAAGCAGCAGGUUAAUACCCCGCUGUUCUGACGGUACCCAAAGAAUAAGCACCGGCGAACUUCGU
RNAcentral lists this ribosomal RNA (491 nucleotides) under uncultured bacterium. RNAcentral's name for it is "partial 16S ribosomal RNA". It matches the Rfam family "Bacterial small subunit ribosomal RNA", at positions 29 to 506 of the family's 1533-position model. The record is from RNAcentral.